UAUCCAAACUUACUGCAGUCUUCGGGUA
This 28-nucleotide small RNA is filed under the name Bombyx mori (domestic silkworm). RNAcentral describes it as "ovarian small RNA-23560". The record is from RNAcentral. Lineage: Eukaryota; Metazoa; Arthropoda; Insecta; Lepidoptera; Bombycidae.